This 443-nucleotide ribosomal RNA is filed under the name uncultured bacterium. Its description in RNAcentral is "partial 16S ribosomal RNA". It matches the Rfam family "Bacterial small subunit ribosomal RNA", at positions 338 to 795 of the family's 1533-position model. The record is from RNAcentral.
CCUACGGGAGGCUGCAGUGGGGAAUAUUGGGCAAUGGAGGAAACUCUGACCCAGCAACGCCGCGUGAAUGAUGAAGGUCUUCGGAUUGUAAAGUUCUUUUCUAAGGGAAGAAGAAAGUGACGGUACCUGACUAAGAAGCCCCGGCUAACUACGUGCCAGCAGCCGCGGUAAUACGUAGGGGGCAAGCGUUAUCCGGGUUUACUGGGUUUAAAGGGUGCGUAGGCGGUUCGAUAAGUUAGAGGUGAAAUCCCGGGGCUCAACUCCGGCACUGCCUCUGAUACUGUCGGGCUAGAGUUUAGUUGCGGUAGGCGGAAUGUAUGGUGUAGCGGUGAAAUGCAUAGAGAUCAUACAGAACACCGAUUGCGAAGGCAGCUUACCAAACUACGACUGACGUUGAGGCACGAAAGCGUGGGGAGCAAACAGGAUUAGAUACCCGAGUAGUC